Molecule: long non-coding RNA, 466 nt
Organism: Numida meleagris (helmeted guineafowl)
Lineage: Eukaryota; Metazoa; Chordata; Aves; Galliformes; Numididae
Exons: 3
Source: RefSeq, a predicted model, not a curated record
AUCCUCCUUACAACCCUUCUUGUAUAUGGGAGUCACACUGGACUUUCUAAUGGGAAAGAAUGGAUGUAGAAGGAGGAAAUCAGUAAAAUGAUGGUCAGCGUUUCUGGAAGUGGCCAUGAAAGCUAUGCUACAGUUUCAGCCACUACUGAGAAUCCAGCAUGUGGAUGUACUUCAGGGCUUCCUGAAAUUCAAGACUUCUGGAAAAAUUCUGAACUGGGACCUUAAAGUCACUGGCAAGGUCUUUGGACAGGGAAUAGUCUAAGCAAGCCUGGCCUGUGUGGAAAGGAGGAGAUGUAAAUACUGCAACAUCACUCAAAAAACAGAGCAGAAGCCCUAUCCUAGCUGAAACAAUCCUCUGAGACAGUGGAGUCAAUGAAGAUAUACAACUGGAUCUCCCAUAAAGUAUGGUGAAGGUUUCUAAAAGUCCCUUUCUUAGCUGUGCUAAAGAUCUUAAAAAUGAAUUACA